AUACGUAGGUGGCAAGCGUUGUCCGGAAUUAUUGGGCGUAAAGCGCGCGCAGGCGGUCCUUUAAGUCUGAUGUGAAAGCCCACGGCUCAACCGUGGAGGGUCAUUGGAAACUGGGGGACUUGAGUGCAGAAGAGGAAAGUGGAAUUCCAAGUGUAGCGGUGAAAUGCGUAGAGAUUUGGAGGAACACCAGUGGCGAAGGCGACUUUCUGGUCUGUAACUGACGCUGAGGCGCGAAAGCGUGGGGAGCAAACAGGAUUAGAUACCCUGGUAGUCCACGCUGUAAACGAUGAGUGCUAAGUGUUGGGGGGUUUCCGCCCCUCAGUGCUGCAGCUAACGCAUUAAGCACUCCGCCUGGGGAGUACGGUCGCAAGACUGAAACUCAAAGGAAUUGACGGGG
This 397-nucleotide ribosomal RNA is filed under the name uncultured bacterium. RNAcentral describes it as "partial 16S ribosomal RNA". It matches the Rfam family "Bacterial small subunit ribosomal RNA", at positions 523 to 918 of the family's 1533-position model. The record is from RNAcentral.